GACGAACGCUGGCGGCGUGCGUAACACAUGCAAGUCGAACGGAGAAUUUCAAUAAGCUUGCUUAGCGAAAUUUUUAGUGGCGGACGGGUGAGUAACGCGUGGGUAACGUACCCAUAAAGCCGGGACAACCCUUGGAAACGAGGGCUAAUACCGGAUAAUCUUAGAGCUUGGCAUCAAGCUUUAAGGAAAGGUGGCCUCUGAAAAUGCUACCGAUUAUGGAUGGACCCGCGUCUGAUUAGCUAGUUGGUGGGGUAAAGGCCUACCAAGGCGACGAUCAGUAGCCGGCCUGAGAGGGUGAACGGCCACACUGGGACUGAGACACGGCCCAGACUCCUACGGGAGGCAGCAGUGGGGAAUCUUCCGCAAUGGACGAAAGUCUGACGGAGCAACGCCGCGUGUAUGAUGAAGGUCUUCGGAUUGUAAAGUACUGUCUUUGGGGAAGAAUGACUGAUUUGAAAAUAUUGAGUCAGUAUGACGGUACCCCAAG
Molecule: ribosomal RNA, 487 nt
Filed under: uncultured Desulfosporosinus sp.
Lineage: Bacteria; Bacillati; Bacillota; Clostridia; Eubacteriales; Desulfitobacteriaceae
Description: bacterial SSU rRNA
Rfam family: Bacterial small subunit ribosomal RNA
Source: RNAcentral